Molecule: ribosomal RNA, 513 nt
Filed under: Borbo cinnara (rice swift)
Lineage: Eukaryota; Metazoa; Arthropoda; Insecta; Lepidoptera; Hesperiidae
Description: partial 16S ribosomal RNA
Rfam family: Bacterial large subunit ribosomal RNA (bases 387-513)
Source: RNAcentral
GUCUUUUUGUUAAUAAUUUAAAGUCGAAUCUGCCCACUGAUUAAUAAUUAAAGGGCUGCAGUAUAUUGACUGUACAAAGGUAGCAUAAUAAUUAGUCUUUUAAUUGAAGACUUGUAUGAAAGAUUUGAUGAGAUAUAAACUGUCUCUUUUUUAUAAUUUGAAUUUAAUUUUUUAGUAAAAAAGCUAAAAUUUAUUUAAAAGACGAGAAGACCCUAUAGAGUUUUAUAAUUAAAUUAAUUAUGAAUUUGUAUUUAAUUUAAAAAUUAAUUAUUUUAAUUAUUUUAUUGGGGUGAUAAAAAAAUUAAUUUAACUUUUUUUUUAAAAUAAACAUUAAUUAAUGAAUAAAUGAUCCAUUUUUUAUGAUUAUAAGAAAAAAUUACCUUAGGGAUAACAGCGUAAUUUUUUUUUUUAGUUCUUAUAAGAAAAAAAGUUUGCGACCUCGAUGUUGGAUUAAGAUAAAAUUUAAAUGCAGAAGUUUAAAAUUUUGAUCUGUUCGAUCAUUAAAAUCUUACA